Molecule: small RNA, 107 nt
Filed under: Marmota monax (woodchuck)
Lineage: Eukaryota; Metazoa; Chordata; Mammalia; Rodentia; Sciuridae
Source: RNAcentral
GCCAGGCAUGGUGGCCCAUGCCUGUAAUCCCAGCUACUCAGGAGGCCGAGGCAAGAGGAUAACAAAUUCAAAGCCAGCCUGGGCAACUUAGCAAGGCCCUGUCUCAA